Prunus persica (peach) is the source of this 105-nucleotide microRNA precursor. It matches the Rfam family "MIR6274 microRNA precursor family". The record is from Rfam. NCBI's taxonomy places the organism in Eukaryota, Viridiplantae, Streptophyta, Magnoliopsida, Rosales, Rosaceae.
GGAUAACACUUUUUGCUAUCUCCGAUCAAUAACACAAUAAUACGUGAGAUAACUUUUUCACGUGUCAUUGUGUUAUUGACCGAAGACGGCAAAACAGUAUUAUGC